Molecule: ribosomal RNA, 1511 nt
Filed under: metagenome
Description: bacterial SSU rRNA
Rfam family: Bacterial small subunit ribosomal RNA
Source: RNAcentral
CUGGCAGCGUGGAUUAGGCAUGCAAGUCGAACGAGAAGCCUUCUUUUCAAGUUUUCGGACGAGAAGAUUAGGCGGGAAGUGGCGAAAGGGUGAGUAACACGUGGGCAAUCUGCCUUUAAGACGGGGAUAGCCUCUGGAAACGGGGGUUAAUACCGGAUGUGGUAAACGGUCGCAUGGCCGUGCAUCUAAAGAUGGGGAUCUUCGGACCUGUCACUUAAAGAUGAGCCCGCGCACUAUCAGCUAGUUGGUGAGGUAAUGGCUCACCAAGGCUAAGACGGUUAGGUGGUCUGAGAGGAUGGUCACCCACACUGGGACUGAGACACUGCCCAGACUCCUACGGGAGGCUGCAGUCGAGAAUCAUUCGCAAUGCGCGAAAGCGUGACGAUGCGACGCUGCGUGCAGGAUGAAGGCCUUCGGGUUGUAAACUGCUGUCAGAAGGGAGUAAUGUGCCGUAUGUUAAUAGCAUGUGGCAGUGAUAGUACCUUCAGAGGAAGCCACGGCUAACUCUGUGCCAGCAGCCGCGGUAAUACAGAGGUGGCGAUCGUUGUUCGGAUUUACUGGGCGUAAAGGGUGCGUAGGCGGUUUUGUGUGUCGGAUGUGAAAGCCCACCUUUCAUGGGUGGAACUGCAUUCGAAACUGCAGAACUAGAGUACGGAAGAGGAGAGUGGAAUUCAUGGUGUAUCGGUGAAAUGCGUAGAUAUCAUGAAGAACACCGGUUGCGAAGGCGACUCUCUGGAACGAUACUGACGCUGAGGCACGAAAGUUAGGGUAGCGAAAGGGAUUAGAUACCCCUGUAGUCCUAACCGUAAACGGUGCGUACUUGAUGUUGGUCGGUUUACCCCGAUCAGUGUCGGAGCUAACGUGUUAAGUACGCCGCCUGGGGAGUACGGCCGCAAGGCUAAAACUCAAAGGAAUUGACGGGGACCCGCACAAGCGGUGGAGCAUGUGGCUUAAUUCGAUGCAACGCGAAGAACCUUACCCAGGCUUGACAUGUAACUGCACGCUUACCGAAAGGUAGGAAGCCUUCGAGGGUGUUACACAGGUGCUGCAUGGCUGUCGUCAGCUCGUGCCGUGAGGUGUUGGGUUAAGUCCCGCAACGAGCGCAACCCUUGUGAUUAGUUGCCAGUUUUUCAGAGAUGGAAAGCGCACUCUAAUCAGACUGCCGGUGACAAGCCGGAGGAAGGUGGGGAUGACGUCAAGUCAGUAUGGUCCUUAUGCCUGGGGCUGCACACGUGCUACAAUGGAUGGUACAGAAGGAAGCAAUACCGCGAGGUGGAGCUAAUCCCCAAAACCAUCCUCAGUUCGGAUUGGAGUCUGCAACUCGACUCCAUGAAGCCGGAAUCGCUAGUAAAGGCGUAUCAGCUACGACGCCUUGAAUACGUUCCCGGGUCUUGUACACACCGCCCGUCACAUCACGAAAGCCGAUUGCACCCGAAGCCGCUGGGCCAACCCGUAAGGGAGGCAGGUGUCGAAGGUGUGAUUGGUAAUUGGGAUGAAGUCGAAACAAGGUA